RNAcentral lists this unclassified non-coding RNA (240 nucleotides) under soil metagenome. Its description in RNAcentral is "partial contains 5.8S ribosomal RNA, internal transcribed spacer 2, and large subunit ribosomal RNA". The record is from RNAcentral.
AACGCACGAGACCUGCGGACCUGCGGAGGGAUCAUUAAAGAGUUUAACUACUCAAACCAUUGUGAACCUUACCUCAACCGUUGCUUCGGCGGGCGGGCCCGGGCCAAGCCCGGCGCCCCCCCGGCCCCUCGCGGGCGCCCGCCGGAGGUUAACCGAACCCUUGAAUUGUAUGGCCUCUCUGAGUCUUCUGUACUGAAUAAGUCAAAACUUUCAGCAACGGAUCUCUAGAUCGGAAGAGCA